AGUGAACGCUGGCGGUAGGCCUAACACAUGCAAGUCGAACGGCAGCACAGUAAGAGCUUGCUCUUACGGGUGGCGAGUGGCGGACGGGUGAGGAAUACAUCGGAAUCUACUUUUUCGUGGGGGAUAACGUAGGGAAACUUACGCUAAUACCGCAUACGACCUACGGGUGAAAGCAGGGGAUCUUCGGACCUUGCGCGAUUGAAUGAGCCGAUGUCGGAUUAGCUAGUUGGCGGGGUAAAGGCCCACCAAGGCGACGAUCCGUAGCUGGUCUGAGAGGAUGAUCAGCCUCACUGGAACUGAGACACGGUCCAGACUCCUACGGGAGGCAGCAGUGGGGAAUAUUGGACAAUGGGCGCAAGCCUGAUCCAGCCAUACCGCGUGGGUGAAGAAGGCCUUCGGGUUGUAAAGCCCUUUUGUUGGGAAAGAAAAGCAGCAGGUUAAUACCCCGCUGUUCUGACGGUACCCAAAGAAUAAGCGCCGGCUAACCUCGUG
This 492-nucleotide ribosomal RNA is filed under the name uncultured bacterium. RNAcentral's name for it is "partial 16S ribosomal RNA". It matches the Rfam family "Bacterial small subunit ribosomal RNA", at positions 29 to 507 of the family's 1533-position model. The record is from RNAcentral.